Molecule: long non-coding RNA, 4117 nt
Filed under: Bemisia tabaci
Lineage: Eukaryota; Metazoa; Arthropoda; Insecta; Hemiptera; Aleyrodidae
Description: lncRNA ENSSSA1NGG014127
Source: RNAcentral
GGAGAAAAAGAUGGGAAGGAAAGGUUUGCCUAAAACCAAGAAAGCCAAACAGCGCGCCAAGAAAUCAAAGAAAAAUAAGUCAAAAGGACGCCCGAAGUUUGCCUAUGCCAAAGAUGACAUGCUGAAAGCAGUUGAAGCUGUCAGAGAUGGCCGGAUGUCGUGUUCGGGAGCAGCAAGUGAGUUUAACGUUCCACGCUCAACGCUCCAAACCAAGGUUAAAGGAACCAGUCCGCUUGAUAUUAAGAUGGGUCCUAGCUCAAUUUUACAUGCAGAGGAAGAAAGAAAGAAGAAGGGAAUAAAAAGCAAGAAAAAAAUUACAGAAAAUAAAAGUCUUGACGAAGAAAUGGUCAGCGAUUCAUCUGAUGUUGUUGACACGCCAUCCUGUCCCAUUUCUAUUACAGCCGAUAUGAUAAACAUCAAUUCAUACGUUAUUGUUAGUUAUGAAGGCGAGCUGUUUCCUGGAAUGGUGAUUCAGAAAGAAAGCGAAGGUGCAACUGUAAAAGUAAUGGCAAUGGCUGGGGUAAACGCUUGGAAAUGGCCAGAGAAAGAAGAUGUUUUGUGUUACAGUUAUAGCGAUAUAAAAGAGAUAAUAGAGCCUCCUACUUUAAAAAACAGCCGAGGUGUCUGUUCAGUUCCAGAAUUGGUAAAAUGCAGAAAAAGACUAAACUUUUAACUUAGCAUUAUGCUGUUGUACGCCUUAUUUAAUUUAUUUUUACCAAAUACUUACUCAAGUGUUCUUAUUUUUCAAUGUUUAAGUACUAAAAGUACUGAUCUCUUCUUACUUGUGCCAGUAUUAUUUUCCUACAGUUUUAUGUGAAAAUUCUAUACUCAGUUUUAUAGUUAUGUAAGCAUCGUAUACUUAAGCAAGGUAACUGAAGUGCAAAAAUACCCCAGUAAGUAGUGAGAAUGACGUACAGUCAAUUUUGUUACCUAGAAUUUAAGAAUUUAAUUUUUAUUCUUCAAUAUUUCAAACUCCUCGUUACCGAAGUACAUUUUCUUUAGUUAAUUUUGUUUUCUAAUUCUUAAAGUGUUGACUCUACUUUACUUCCUAUUGAUUUAAGCAAAUAUUUUCCUUUGAUUGUAGUCAUUUUUUUUUUCUGUUAAUAUUCUUUAAUAAACAAGUAAAUAACAAUGAAACAUAAUUUUUAUCUUUUUUUACCAUUCUACUUAGCAUAAGUCAACAAUUUAAAAAUAAAAAAAAAAAAAAAAAACUAACAAAAGUUAAAUCAAUUGCUCUGCCAAUCACUGGUGCAUGAAUUGCCAAUUACUCGCACAUCCAAAACUUUGACUGCCAAUCACUGGUACAUUGCUCAUUUUUCAAAAAAUGUAAGUUUGAAUUCAGUAAUAGUUCAAAAAUGUUUGAAUUGAGGCAUUUUUAAACAGCAAAAUGUAUGCAUCUUCAAUAGAAACAAACAAAUCAACCAUAUUUAUUUAUAUUUUGGGAAAAAUUGAAGCUCUAAGUUGAAAAAAUCCUUAAGGUGCCAAUUACUGGUACACUUACCUUAAUGGCAUAGCAGCCAGUAGCAACAUCCUUAAGCCAAUCUUAAGUCUCAAAAGAAGGACGAUAAAGAUUAUAGGCCUACCCCAGACUUGUACGUCGGCUGAAUUAUGAGACUUUUUUAAUGUGAAAGGCUUCGACGAGCUAUAGAAAAGAGAACUGAAAAGACUGACACCACAGUUUCAAUCUGAGCCACUCACACAAAAAGAAAUAAAAUAUAAUUUUAGAACUAUUAACCAAGUAAGAGUUGAACAACCCAGAUUAGUAGUCUCAAAGCAAAAAGUAGGGUAUACAGUAAAACUGGAGUGCACUAGUUGACCAAAUCAAUCCUUUCGUAAACUCCCAAAUAGUAAAUUAUUCAUUGCAUUUUCCAAAGUAACUAUGAAAACCGCACAAGAGGCUAAUAGUUUUGUUGCUUAUUUCCAAGCUGAAGAUCCAAACUAUGAAUGCUAUAUUCCUAAAUAUGGUCUCCUAACUAAAGGAGUAAUGAAGGACAUCCCAGUUGAGUUCACAGAAACAGAACUAAGUAGUGAAAUGAUUAGCUUUUCUCACGAGAUAUAUUCUCUAACUGUAUUAAAUUAAGUGAAAUCUGAUUCAUCAAGCAAAGUUGGAAGCAUUCCAAACAACUGGCUUUUAGGUACCUUCUGAACUUUACAUCUUACUGAAACUUUUUCUAAAUGGAAGUUCACUUAGGUACCUAAGUAAGAAGGACUGAGCCUGUCAGGGAGUUGAGUUUAAGGUAUCUUAGACACGGAACAGUUCUGUACAAAGAAAGCAAAAGAAAUAUUUCAAUUAUGUUUACAAUGAAUUUCAAAUAGCACCAGAUUCCCCUAAAUGCUACCAUCAGCGGUAAUCCAGAAGUAAAAUAGAGUCAGGAUAAAUGAUUGCCUUGACUCAAAAUUGGUUGAGAAGGAAUGUAGGUACUAAGGUGCAACUAGUUGUCUUCAAACCUUCUUACUUACUCUUAAAUUAAAGUGCACUUGAAGGAUAAAGUAAAUGUCAUACGUAAAGAAUCUUUCGUAGCUAUCAAUAAUGUGCACAAAAUUCCAUAGGAAGGCUGAUAUAAGUGAAUGUGAGACAAGACACAGAACGAAAAGCAGCUAGAAAGUGAUGUAGAUUUAUAAAGACCUUAAGGACAAGAGAGACUACACUUAAUUGUUCUGAUUGUGAACUGCCAAAAUACAAUAUUCCGAUGUGCAGUAUUGCGAACUUCCUAUUAUUAUCUAUUUUCUACACAAAAAACUAAGUACUUGGCUUUAUCUCUUGAAAACUUGGUAAUUCUUCUUCCCCAUACAGAAAAUUUUUCUGUAACAAGGAGGAUGUUGAUCCGGUCUCCUUGCAAAAAUUAAAAAAGGACAAAGAAUUCCUUGCAACCACAACCAAGAGCAUUCCUGCAGUUUCUCGGUUCAUUUGAAACAUAUCAGCUAAUAAGAGUACAGUUCUACAUCUCUGGUCUGUACUCGAUCAUUGACCAAGGUUCAACCGGACUUAGGUAAAAGCACUAGGUUUUAGCUGUUCAAUAGUUUGUAUCUGCCCUCCAUAUUGAAAAACAUUAUACACACUUAAGCACACAGUUAGCAGGCCGAGAGGUAGCAGAGAGCUGACGGAAAGUUUGCAUGUUAGAUGUCAGCACGUCAACUGCUUUAAGCUUUCAAUAAUUAGCAGGGGACAAAUUUAAGCCACAGGAGGCAGAACUGAAAGCUUCAGAUACGUUUCCAAAGUGUUCCUAAAACAACAAAAAUGUGCAGAGUAAUAGAAAAAACAUGCAAAAUCUAACCUGUAAACAGCUGUCCUAGUAAGCAGAUGUCGAUAGAAUCAAUACCGAGAAACGAAAGGUGUCCUUGCUUCUAAAUGCACUAUGAUGACGAAAUCAUUGGUUCGUCCGGGGCGAUUAGUGAGCCACAAAGAAGAAAAAUUGUGGUGAGGAACUCGUCAACAUUAUGUCGAUUCAAAAGGACUUUAAAAUCACAAACCGAGCACACACAAAUGACCGGCGAAAUGGGAAAAAGUCGACUCGUGAGGAACUCACGUGGCGAGAUAGGCUCUGACGAUUUUCCACAUGGUUCACAAGUUUUAUAAUGCUUAGUGCUUAGUAACAACGCAAGGCAGAAGGCAGACCCGAACAAAUCGAAAAUCGGAAAUACCGCGAAACGAUAGGUUGAGAUCGUUGAAGAUAAAAGGUUUCACAGUUUCGAAGGAUAUAAUUUACCGAUUACCGGGCACGCCACUGGGUAGAAGAAACCGCGUGAGAUGUUUAAGUUGAAGAGGGAAAGCGGUGCGGCCCGGCCGAAAGUUCGAUACGUACGCACUGCAUAAAUGCGGAAUGCGGCGUACUCAUGAGACGAAGUGACGAAGAAACAAUAAAUGAACAUCUGAUGGCGCGAACUGAACAAAUUGGCGCGCGGACUGAACGAAAUGAAGACUCAGUUUAUCUCUCUCUCGCCCUCUAAACGCUGCGUCGCUGUGUCCUUGUCUGAGGGCUUCGAGGAGACUGCUCAGCCGCGCCGCGCACACGUGUGAGCGUGUGAGGGUGUUGGUAUGUGUGAAGUGGGAGAAAUCCAAAGAGAAAUGAGAUGCGUCUAGUUCCUUCCUACAGGGUGUCCCAACGAUUCGGUCAAC